This is a non-coding RNA of Acanthosepion pharaonis, 112 nucleotides long. The record is from the annotation of a GenBank genome assembly. Lineage: Eukaryota; Metazoa; Mollusca; Cephalopoda; Sepiida; Sepiidae.
UUGCAGUCACAUCAAGUUGAAACAUUGGUUUUCGUACGAUCACGGAAAUCAAGCAACCUUGAGCCUGGUCAGUACCCGGACGGGUGACCGCUUGGUAAUACCAGGUACAGUA